UACGUAGGUGGCAAGCGUUGUCCGGAUUUACUGGGCGUAAAGAGCGCGCAGGCGGUCGUUCAAGUCGCGUGUGAAAGCCCCCGGCCCAACUGGGGAGGGUCACGCGAUACUGAUCGACUCGAAGGCAGGAGAGGGUAGUGGAAUUCCCGGUGUAGUGGUGAAAUGCGUAGAUAUCGGGAGGAACACCAGUGGCGAAGGCGACUACCUGGCCUGUUCUUGACGCUGAGGCGCGAAAGCUAGGGGAGCAAACGGG
RNAcentral lists this ribosomal RNA (253 nucleotides) under uncultured bacterium. Its description in RNAcentral is "partial 16S ribosomal RNA". It matches the Rfam family "Bacterial small subunit ribosomal RNA", at positions 524 to 776 of the family's 1533-position model. The record is from RNAcentral.